AUACGGAAGGUCCGGGCGUUAUCCGGAUUUAUUGGGUUUAAAGGGAGCGCAGGCGGAGAUGCAAGCGUGACGUCAAAUUUCGGGGCUCAACCCCGUCUCGCGUCGCGAACUGCGUCCCUUGGUUGCGGGAAGGGGAGGCGGAACUCGGGGUGUAGCGGUGAAAUGCAUAGAUAUCACGAAGAACUCCGAUCGCGAAGGCAGCCUUCCGGCCCGUCAACGACGCUCAUGCUCGAAGGUGCGGGUAUCAAAAAGGAUUAGAUACCCUGGUAGUCCGCACAGUAAACGAUGGACACCCGCGGUUUGGCCUGUAUGGCUGAGCCGCCAAGCGAAAGCGUUAAGUGUCCCACCUGGGGAGUACGCCGGCAACGGUGAAACUCAAAUGAAUUGACGGGG
RNAcentral lists this ribosomal RNA (393 nucleotides) under uncultured bacterium. RNAcentral describes it as "partial 16S ribosomal RNA". It matches the Rfam family "Bacterial small subunit ribosomal RNA", at positions 523 to 918 of the family's 1533-position model. The record is from RNAcentral.